CCCUUCUCUCUUUUUUUUUUUUUCACAUCAAUGACUAGAUUACAAAAACGUUCAUAUCAAAGAACCCUGCCUAAAUACUGUGCGCCUCGCAAUGAUGCAAAGAAUGCCUCCUCUAUACGAUGUAAUGAAGCCGCACCAGCAAAAAGGUCGACCAUUCCAUCACUUGAAGAGAGGAUUUCCGAAGCAUUCUAAAGUGCCAACAAUUGAGACUUGUGAUCAAUGCCAUUGAAUAUGAAAGUCCCAGAAAUAGGAACAAAUUGUCUUGUUAUUAGCUUGAUCACUUCUUGUGAUGCAACUCCCCCUAUGAAGGCUGCUACUGCAUGGAGCUCUGAAGCACCAAACCGGCACAUUUCAUUUAUAAGGUCCUCUGUCAAGGGUGAUCCGUUGCAACCCAAGUCACUCAGGAGACCAACAGCUGUAGUUUUUAGUCGAGAUAUAUCCUCAUCCAUUUCCCCAUCAAAUUGCCCUGGAAAACUGUUAUAAUUAGCAGUAAAACGGUCAACAGCUCGCAGCAAAAUAUAAAAGCCCAUGGCCACACUGUAAUCCUCAUCAGUUAAAUACUUCUGCAACUGCGGAAGGGAAGGAUUGCUGAACUCAUCCUCAAGAAGGCGAUACCUGCAAACCUUUAGUUUUCUAGCAUUUUUGCAGAAGCUUUUUAUCAUUGUCUUUGAGAUGCCAUCAGGAUCUCUACCAAUUUUCUUCAGUAUAUUCUUCACCCUUUGCUCUAUAAUAAGAUAAUCAGCCUCAGCUUUUGCUUGGUAGAUCUUCUGCAAAUUUACAUAGAGCUCAGUUGAAGAUGUCAUAUCUGGUAUUGAACCCUCAAGCGGUGCCUCCCCACCACCUUCAUUAACAAUAAACUCCUUUAAAGCAGCUAGCAUCACCCAAAAUUGUGAAGAAUUAGAAUCAACUUCAGUACAGCUAUCACUAAUUAUCUGCUGCAGAUCCGGACUAAUUCCUCGAGGAGCAAAUACUUUAAAGGAGGCCUCUAUGGCUUCUUUAUAGUUGUCUUCAUCCGUUGCAACCAUCCCAGCUUUGAGAAGCUCCUUGAACUGUUUUUUCUCAUCCCUAGUUGAUGGAAGGCUACCACCAUGAGUUUUGGCCCACUCCUCAGCCAUCUUGACAAGGAUAAUUACAUAUGGAGUGUGCUUAUGUGCAACAGGAUCUGCCACAUUUAAGUCAAUUGUUUCUGCAAAACUUUUGAGCUCAGGCCAUGGGUUAUUCAACCGAAGAUCAUCCAAAAAAUGAUCAGGCUUUGACUCGAUCACUGUAUGUUCCUUUACACUGACUCUAACAAACCCAGUAAGGCCAUAGGAGCGUGCAAAAAUCAACUUCACAUUGGCCUCCCUACAGAUUUUAUCAAGCUUAACCAUUGAAUCUUCCACCAGCUGAGUCGCUGCUACUAAUGUAAACUGAGAAAAAAAGGACGGAUUUGUCUCGAUUAAUGCCUCAGGGUGCUCUUCUAUAAACUUGGCUUUAACAGCAUCAUUUAGCUCUUGAAGAAAUGCACACACACACUUUGCUUUUGAUUGCCCCACACUUGAUUCAUCCACCAUGAAAUUAUUUCCAAGAUCACUGACUUCAACUUUAGAUCCAUCAAUCACUGUAAUCGAUCCAACCCCACCAAGAACAAGAUUUUUUAAUGUCUCAGAACCCGUAGGACCACAAUUAAGCAAGCAUAUACUGGCUUUCUCUAGGGCUGCUUGUCCUUGCUCUCCCCAUAUCCUGAGUUGGCGAUCGUAUUUGGUUUUUGGUUC
RNAcentral lists this unclassified non-coding RNA (1754 nucleotides) under Hevea brasiliensis (rubber tree). The record is from RNAcentral. Lineage: Eukaryota; Viridiplantae; Streptophyta; Magnoliopsida; Malpighiales; Euphorbiaceae.